This 6951-nucleotide long non-coding RNA is filed under the name Prunus persica (peach). RNAcentral describes it as "long non-coding RNA (PPER_LNC004134)". The record is from RNAcentral. Lineage: Eukaryota; Viridiplantae; Streptophyta; Magnoliopsida; Rosales; Rosaceae.
AGACUUCCUGCCGAAAUUUCGGCAGUCUCCCCUAUAAAUUGGACAUUUCCCAAAAUUUCAACCUGCAUAAAAACACAUUUAAUAUUCCCAACUGGCAGCAUGCACAAUAUAAUUUCAUGCAAUUCACACAAAUGGCCUUCGGCCUUUCAAUAAUUCCUAUCCAACUACCAAACCAUUCAAAUACCAAAUAUGACUAACAUUUAGUCUGCGGCUGCACCUAAUAACCUUAGGCUGCCUACGUACCCUCCUUGAGGGAUCAAGCCACACGUAGUUCUUCCCUAAAACUCAAUUCCCCACUUGGGCGAUACCUUAUUUCAUUUCUUUGUAUUUCAUAUAAUCUCCCCAUACGCCGGUACAACCAACGCCACGUAUGGGGUCUGUCUCAACGUCGGAUAACCUACGCCACGUGAAACCUGCACAUCAUAUCACAUAACUCCCCAUACGCCGGUACAACCAACGCCACGUAUGGGGCCUGUCCCAACGCCGGAUAACCUAAGCCACGCGGGACCUCAAUAUUAUAUCACAAAGCUCCCCAUACGCCGGUACAACCAACGCCACGUAUGGGGUUUGUCGACACGCCGGAUAACCUACGCCACGUGCGACCUCGACACAAUAUCACAUAGCUCCCCAUACGCCGGUACAACCAACGCCACGUAUGGGGUCUGUCCCAGCGCCGGAUAACCUACGCCACGCGGGACCUCAAUUUCACUUGGUGGUGCUUGUAAUGGAUCCAACAUCCGAGGAGGUACCUAAAGUAGUGCGUAUAGCACUCCAAACUGACAUUUCUAGACUUUGUUGUACCCUUGUACAACCACAUAUAAUUAUAUUUAUAUAAUAUUAAUUCUUAUAUUGUGUAACCCUCCACAAUCAUCUAGCACCCGAUAAUCCCCCGUAGAAAGGUGAGAUUACUCCGGGAGACUCACGGUCAACCAAGGGUCAAACUACUCUAACCCUGGUCAACCCGACCUACAAAACCCACGACCUCCAAUUUCCGAUCCGGAAGUCCCUAUGGGUUCUACCAGGUAUAGGACACUUGUCCUGCAAGUUUGGUUCAGAUCGGACGGUCGGAUUGCUCACGAUCGCACGAUCUGACGGUUAAUAUAAAAUAUAAAAUUAAAAUUAUUAUUCGGAACAUCCGGGGCUCCGAUUCACGAUCCGUGAAUUCCUACACGAUCCUAGAAAUACCUAGAUUAACAUAUAUUAAAUUUGGGACCAUCCGACGGUCCCAACCUAUCGAACCCGGAUAACGCAUACUAUGCGAUUAUCCGUUCGAUAGUCAAACGACGUCCGAAUUGAGAUCCGCGAAAUCCUACGCACUCGUGACAACCUAAGGAUCUCUUUGGGUUAAUUUGCAGCUUCACCAGCCUCGCCCACGCGCCGCCACACGCGCCGGCAGCGCGUGGGUGUGUAGAGAAAUUCCGGCGACGGAAAAAACUCCACACCCGAGCUCACCCUUUCGGCUACAGAUUCUACUCGACGAGUGGAACACUUUAUUCAACUACACCAAAGUCCAAUUCGGACGGCAAGUGGCCGGAAUCGGCGUCGGAAACUCACGGUUUAACCCGGAACUUCACGGCCUCGAUCCGGCGACCACCGUCGAUAUCGUCAUCGCGCAACCUAGGAAAUAGCUAGAAGGGAAGGAGGGCUACCUGUUCCAAGUGACGGCGCAGCUCGCGACGGCCGGAAACGUCGCCGGUGACGUCGGCAAUUUUGGCCGUUUUUCCCGCCGUUGCCACCGCCGUUCGCCGGGUUUUCGAUCGGAGAAAAGGGGUGGGCUGGGUCGAGGAGGAAGAGAGGAAGCUUUUGCAAGAAACGGCGCCUAAAACGGAGGUCGGACGGCGAAGUUCACGCCGUCUGAAGUUCCGGCGAAAAAAUGAAAACGGGGAGGGGGGUUCAGCCGCGGGAGAGAGAGAGAGAGAGAGAGAGAGAGAGAGAGAGAGAUCUGAUAUUUUAACCCAAACUUCGAAAUAUUUACAGUUUUGCCACUGUCGAUGUUUUGCCCGUAACUUCUUCGUUACAACUCCGAUUCGAGCCCACUACGUGUCUAUGAACUCGUCUCAAUACGACCUAUCCAAAAAUAUAAGUCACGGUCCCAAACUCUCUCCGGUUAAAAAUAUGACUAAAAUACCCUUAAAUAAUUAAAUAAUUAAAUAAGGGUAAAAUUUGGGAAAAUUUGGGGUCGGAGUGUUACAGACUACCCCCCUUAUAAAAAUUUCGUCCCCGAAAUUUCCUACCUGUCACUCGAAGGGUUGUGAGCAUGGGGCCCGCAUCUACCACUCGGGUUCCCAAGUUCUUUCUCCACAACCGUGUUGGCAACCAAGCCAAAAGCUCUAGCUAAGCAAGCAGAGAAAGAGAAGUCUCCUUCUCUAACUAUGGCGAGCUCACGUGAGAGAGCAAGGAGGAAGAACCCUAAUGUUCCACUCCUGUCAAUCGCGGCAUUCAAGCCCACGCGAAUGAAGUACGGUUACACCCAACUCCAUUACUUCUCCCUUUAAUUUGCUAACACGAUUCUUUGAGAGAAAAGUCAGAAAGGAUCAUUUUUACCGAAUUGUAAUCAUCAUCGAUCUCUCUCGACCAUGAUCCAUUUCUGAUUCCGAUGAAAGAUCUCUACUCAAACGUGCUUACGUGAGAUGAGACCCCAAAUGACUCUCUCCAUCCAUCUGGGUCUCGUCCUUAGACUUGACCAUAGUAUUCCCACCACACACGAGCCUCUUUCUGUAAGAGACACUUGUGAUUUCGAUUAUACCAACACCACCCUUCAGACCCUGGAUCCCUUGAUCCAAUGUCGGGGAGUUGCUCGUCCCAGAGAGAGGUUAUGCUAUUAGGAUCUUCGACUCGGUGCUCUAGGCACACAAUCGAAAAUUAGCAACAUGUUCAGUCAAUGGAGGAUCCCUAGAAGUAGGUUGAUCCACUCCCUACCUCCCGCUUAUGCGGACCCAACAGACAACUUUGUCAUGGGGACAUCCAACUGUACCAUACGUACAGGUGUUACCCUAUGCAAACUUUUGGCUUCUAUUCGUAAUCUUCCGGAACUUCUGAAACAACCACUGUCUGUGGUAAAGCUCCAGCUCUACUUAUGCUCCGGUGGCCUAUGUACCUUUCCUUUGUGAAAUAAUUUGACUUUUGUGACGUCCUCAACGUUGCAAAUGUGCCACUCCGAGAUGGUACCCAUUUUGAUCCCCACAAUUUAAGGAUGCACAUAAAGUGCAGGGUCCACAAGGAAUUGAACCUAGAGCUCUGAUACCAACUUUAAGGACCCGCCCCGAAUUUUCUCAAAACCCGAGACGAACCCUUUGGAAUUCCUGACAUCACUCCGAUGUCAGACCCGAUCACUAAAGACCGAGACUUCCUGCCGAAAUUUCGGCAGAGUCUCCCCUAUAAAUUGGACAUUUUCCAAAAUUUCAACCUACAUAAAAACACAUUUAAUAUUCCCAACUGGCAGCAUGCACAAUAUAAUUUCAUGCAAUUCACACAAAUGGCCUUCGGCCUUUCAAUAAUUCCUAUCCAACUACCAAACCAUUCAAAUACCAAAUAUGACUAACAUUUAGUCUGCGGCUGCACCUAAUAACCUUAGGCUGCCUACGUACCCUCCUUGAGGGAUCAAGCCACACGUAGUUCUUCCCUAAAACUCAAUUCCCCACUUGGGCGAUACCUUAUUUCAUUUCUUUGUAUUUCAUAUAAUCUCCCCAUACGCCGGUACAACCAACGCCACGUAUGGGGUCUGUCUCAACGUCGGAUAACCUACGCCACGUGAAACCUGCACAUCAUAUCACAUAACUCCCCAUACGCCGGUACAACCAACGCCACGUAUGGGGCCUGUCCCAACGCCGGAUAACCUAAGCCACGCGGGACCUCAAUAUUAUAUCACAAAGCUCCCCAUACGCCGGUACAACCAACGCCACGUAUGGGGUUUGUCGACACGCCGGAUAACCUACGCCACGUGCGACCUCGACACAAUAUCACAUAGCUCCCCAUACGCCGGUACAACCAACGCCACGUAUGGGGUCUGUCCCAGCGCCGGAUAACCUACGCCACGCGGGACCUCAAUUUCACUUGGUGGUGCUUGUAAUGGAUCCAACAUCCGAGGAGGUACCUAAAGUAGUGCGUAUAGCACUCCAAACUGACAUUUCUAGACUUUGUUGUACCCUUGUACAACCACAUAUAAUUAUAUUUAUAUAAUAUUAAUUCUUAUAUUGUGUAACCCUCCACAAUCAUCUAGCACCCGAUAAUCCCCCGUAGAAAGGUGAGAUUACUCCGGGAGACUCACGGUCAACCAAGGGUCAAACUACUCUAACCCUGGUCAACCCGACCUACAAAACCCACGAUCUCCAAUUUUUGAUCCGGAAGUCCCUAUGGGUUCUACCAGGUAUAGGACACUUGUCCUGCAAGUUUGGUUCAGAUCGGACGGUCGGAUUGCUCACGAUCGCACGAUCUGACGGUUAAUAUAAAAUAUAAAAUUAAAAUUAUUAUUCGGAACAUCCGGGGCUCCGAUUCACGAUCCGUGAAUUCCUACACGAUCCUAGAAAUACCUAGAUUAACAUAUAUUAAAUUUGGGACCAUCCGACGGUCCCAACCUAUCGAACCCGGAUAACGCAUACUAUGCGAUUAUCCGUUCGAUAGUCAAACGACGUCCGAAUUGAGAUCCGCGAAAUCCUACGCACUCGUGACAACCUAAGGAUCUCUUUGGGUUAAUUUGCAGCUUCACCAGCCUCGCCCACGCGCCGCCACACGCGCCGGCAGCGCGUGGGUGUGUAGAGAAAUUCCGGCGACGGAAAAAACUCCACACCCGAGCUCACCCUUUCGGCUACAGAUUCUACUCGACGAGUGGAACACUUUAUUCAACUACACCAAAGUCCAAUUCGGACGGCAAGUGGCCGGAAUCGGCGUCGGAAACUCACGGUUUAACCCGGAACUUCACGGCCUCGAUCCGGCGACCACCGUCGAUAUCGUCAUCGCGCAACCUAGGAAAUAGCUAGAAGGGAAGGAGGGCUACCUGUUCCAAGUGACGGCGCAGCUCGCGACGGCCGGAAACGUCGCCGGUGACGUCGGCAAUUUUGGCCGUUUUUCCCGCCGUUGCCACCGCCGUUCGCCGGGUUUUCGAUCGGAGAAAAGGGGUGGGCUGGGUCGAGGAGGAAGAGAGGAAGCUUUUGCAAGAAACGGCGCCUAAAACGGAGGUCGGACGGCGAAGUUCACGCCGUCUGAAGUUCCGGCGAAAAAAUGAAAACGGGGAGGGGGGUUCAGCCGCGGGAGAGAGAGAGAGAGAGAGAGAGAGAGAGAGAGAGAGAUCUGAUAUUUUAACCCAAACUUCGAAAUAUUUACAGUUUUGCCACUGUCGAUGUUUUGCCCGUAACUUCUUCGUUACAACUCCGAUUCGAGCCCACUACGUGUCUAUGAACUCGUCUCAAUACGACCUAUCCAAAAAUAUAAGUCACGGUCCCAAACUCUCUCCGGUUAAAAAUAUGACUAAAAUACCCUUAAAUAAUUAAAUAAUUAAAUAAGGGUAAAAUUUGGGAAAAUUUGGGGUCGGAGUGUUACAGACUACCCCCCUUAUAAAAAUUUCGUCCCCGAAAUUUCCUACCUGUCACUCGAAGGGUUGUGAGCAUGGGGCCCGCAUCUACCACUCGGGUUCCCAAGUUCUUUCUCCACAACCGUGUUGGCAACCAAGCCAAAAGCUCUAGCUAAGCAAGCAGAGAAAGAGAAGUCUCCUUCUCUAACUAUGGCGAGCUCACGUGAGAGAGCAAGGAGGAAGAACCCUAAUGUUCCACUCCUGUCAAUCGCGGCAUUCAAGCCCACGCGAAUGAAGUACGGUUACACCCAACUCCAUUACUUCUCCCUUUAAUUUGCUAACACGAUUCUUUGAGAGAAAAGUCAGAAAGGAUCAUUUUUACCGAAUUGUAAUCAUCAUCGAUCUCUCUCGACCAUGAUCCAUUUCUGAUUCCGAUGAAAGAUCUCUACUCAAACGUGCUUACGUGAGAUGAGACCCCAAAUGACUCUCUCCAUCCAUCUGGGUCUCGUCCUUAGACUUGACCAUAGUAUUCCCACCACACACGAGCCUCUUUCUGUAAGAGACACUUGUGAUUUCGAUUAUACCAACACCACCCUUCAGACCCUGGAUCCCUUGAUCCAAUGUCGGGGAGUUGCUCGUCCCAGAGAGAGGUUAUGCUAUUAGGAUCUUCGACUCGGUGCUCUAGGCACACAAUCGAAAAUUAGCAACAUGUUCAGUCAAUGGAGGAUCCCUAGAAGUAGGUUGAUCCACUCCCUACCUCCCGCUUAUGCGGACCCAACAGACAACUUUGUCAUGGGGACAUCCAACUGUACCAUACGUACAGGUGUUACCCUAUGCAAACUUUUGGCUUCUAUUCGUAAUCUUCCGGAACUUCUGAAACAACCACUGUCUGUGGUAAAGCUCCAGCUCUACUUAUGCUCCGGUGGCCUAUGUACCUUUCCUUUGUGAAAUAAUUUGACUUUUGUGACGUCCUCAACGUUGCAAAUGUGCCACUCCGAGAUGGUACCCAUUUUGAUCCCCACAAUUUAAGGAUGCACAUAAAGUGCAGGGUCCACAAGGAAUUGAACCUAGAGCUCUGAUACCAACUUUAAGGACCCGCCCCGAAUUUUCUCAAAACCCGAGACGAACCCUUUGGAAUUCCUGACAUCACUCCGAUGUCAGACCCGAUCACUAAAGACCGAGACUUCCUGCCGAAAUUUCGGCAGAGUCUCCCCUAUAAAUUGGACAUUUUCCAAAAUUUCAACCUACAUAAAAACACAUUUAAUAUUCCCAACUGGCAGCAUGCACAAUAUAAUUUCAUGCAAUUCACACAAAUGGCCUUCAGCCUUUCAAUAAUUCCUAUCCAACUACCAAACCAUUCAAAUACCAAAUAUGACUAACAUUUAGUCUGCGGCUGCACCUAACCUUAGGCUGCCUACGUACCCUCCUUGAGGGAUCAAGCCACA